AGAUAGCCAGCGAUGAGUAGUCGAGAGGUGGUCGUUCUGAGCGUGGGAGGUGUGAGGUUUGUAACCCGGGCUUCUACCUUGCAGCAGUUCCCUGAGUCCAGGUUAGCACGGAUGUUGAAUGAUGAUGACCGGGAAUUUAAACCGGUGAAUGGAGAGUUUUUCCUGGACAGAGAUGGAACUUUGUUCAGUUACAUCAUGGACUUCCUGAGGACUCUCCAGGUCUCCUUACCUGCUGAUUUCUCAGACUAUCAGAGGCUGCAGAGAGAAGCAGAAUUCUAUGGGCUCGACCCUCUGGCCGACCUCCUGAGCCAGGAACACUUGCUGAAGCCGAGGCCGGAGAUCUUGGAAGUGCGUUUUUCUCUCCAAGAGAUGCAGGCCUUUUUCCGGAUCUUUGGGUCCUGCAGUACCACUGUUGAGACACUGGCUGGACUGAUCACGGUGUUUACAGGGCAGCAGUCAGGACAGAGCUGGAACAGCCCUUUUCCUUCUCAGAAACCACUCGUUCCACUUCCUUUGGAAAGACCUUCUCAUCAUGACGUGGUUUUUCAGUGUGGUGCUGACUACUCUGCUGGUGACCAGUUUGUGGCCAGGUAUGUUUCCAUAAAGCCUGACCAUAGAAAGCUGAUUAAUGGUACUAAUGUGCUCGGCCUGCUGCUUGACACUUUGCUCAAGGAUGGAUUUCGCCUCAUAAGCACCAGGACAGUCUCCAGUGAAGAAAAAGUCGAAUGCUACAGUUUUGAAAGGAUGAAGAGGCCAGCAGGCCUCCCCAUCACAGUGAACCAAACCCCAGGGAGCUCCGGGGUAGCACAGGCAAAGAGAAGCCAAGUGCAGAAAGGGAAAUAGAGGCUUCUCCUUUCAUCUUUUGAAGUGAGAACCAUCGUUCACUGGAACAACCUCCCCAGGGAUGUGGUGGAGUCCCCGUCGCUAGAGGUUUUCAAGAUGUGACUGGACAGGCUGCUGGAUAAUCUCAGCUGGACUCCCCUUCCCGUCAAAGGUUGGGCCAGAGGAUCUUUCGAGGACCCUUCAAGCCCGGCCUGUUCUGUGAUUCUGUGAAGACCUUCUGUGGAGAUUGCUGGAAAAUGUUAUUGAAUAUUCAUUGGGAAACAAGCUGGGAGCCAUCCAGGAGGAGGAGGAGGGAGACUCAUUGCCUCUCACUCCUUCCCUCUGAUUCGCGUGGAACCAUUGCCAGGCUUUAACUUUACAAGGUUUAUUUUUAUUGAUUUUCAACAAUAAACAGUGGGAGUAUCUACAAUAAAAGAUUUACAGCGCAUCACGAGGAAAUACAACUCCCUACCAAAUAUUAUAUUGAUCUAUUCCCAGAUGCUACUGAAACGGCGUAUAAAAGCCCAGAUCAAGUCCAGUGAUGGAGAACUUCCUCUCUCCAGUGACAGAUGCGUAUGACUCUUAUGUCUUCAGAAAACAAUAAAAGGGAAGGGAGUGACUCUGCUUCUUUGACCGUAUCUUCAACAGCCCAGUUAAAUCUGUCAGCUCAAUGUAAUCCACAUAAAAAAAGAAUUUGGGAUCCAAGGGAACUGCUAGUGUGUCUGAAGACUCCCAUUCUUUGAAGCUGCCUCUCCUGCUGCAGUCGGGCCAUAAUUAGUCACAGAAGGCCUUGUUGUGACUAGUAAAUGGAUAGACCAACAAUGAUUUGAAUAGUCUGGAACCGGCUGGAGAUAUGCCUGGAGCCCUGAAUAUUCUCAAAUGGGUGGGUGGGAUGUAAAUCACUAGUCGUCGCAUAAAAUACAAAUAAAUCUGACUUCUAUUAAAAAAAAAAAAACCAAGGGAAUUUCGGUUUUCUAGACCAUCGUGUAGUUUCUGCUGAAAUAACCCCCUGAAGUGUGAUCUGAUGUGUAAAUUUUUCCAAGAAUCCUUCCUCCUUUUCUACUCUGUUUCCAUUCUAACGCAAUGGUUCAAUAAUUGGUGGCUUCUUUCUGCUCAGAAAGAUGAUGAAUGUAGCCCUAAAGGUUGGAAAGAAUAAUGUGUACGAGCCUACUUUAGAGAAUGAAUUUAGGGCUUUGCUUUCUAAGCAAGUUUCUGCUACGCCACUCAGCUGAGUGCUUGCUGAAGCUGAAGAAUUAAACGUUGCAACAUUGUUCCAUCCUGAUACUCCAUUGGAAAAAAAAGGCAAUAGAUUGGCAACACGAAGCGUGGUGUUUUACUAGUGCUUUGGAGUCAAGAACUCAAUUUUCCUUGACUUUCAAAGGCAGUUUGUAGCUUUCAUUGAGGCCCUUCUGAAAAGACUGGUCUAUGGUUUUGGUUUUUGUUCCCCAGUGAUAACUAAACUGAGUAAUAAAAUAAUUGCUGACAUACCGUUUUAUUUACAGUGUUGUAGUCAACAAUAAACAGAAGGCAUGCUGAUCCUCUUCCAUCCUGUAAUCUUUGUGUCAUUUUGCUAUGUCUUCAGCUGGCUCCUCGGCCUGGUCACUGGUGGUGUAGAGGAAAAGGCUAUGUGAUAUGGGCAAGCAGAGGUCCACAGAAGAAUGCAGACUCACUUCUUUCCCAUUACAGAGAGGGAGUUAAGGAAUAAAAUUCAGCUGAAAAGAGUUGCUGCCUUUGUGGGACCAAAGAGACACAACUUAUUGUACUGAAGGGAGGACAGUUAACGGAGCUGUCAGAAAUUUCAGCGCCACUGGACAAGGAGAAGCAGAAGAUCUUAUAAGGGUGAACGAAUGGGAGGGUGACAGCAGCCAAAGGAACAUGGGAAAGGCAUGGAGUGACUUAGAUGGGUGACUUAAACAUUCAUGAGACUGCAGGGAUGUUUUACUUUUUCCCAAUGUGUUAGGUAAGUGGAUCUGCAGAACAUCUUCCAUCAACAGUCUGCAUACCUGAAGAGCAAAAUUUCUCUCCCAGAGGUCAGUCCUGCGUCUGUGCUAUGAAGUGAAACGUUGCAGGACACAGACAUAGGGUGGGCUAAUCGUGUUGAUACCUCACAUCUGGAGAGCGAAGCUAUGCUUUUGGUGGCUGAACAGACAAGCUCCGAAGAUCAGAAUACCAGCACUGCUCUGGCAACACUGGGAUUAUAAAGCCUCCUGGAAAACUAUGGAUAUGUCCUGUUGGUGGCCUUUGCUUCAGUUCCAUUUGCAGUAUGGUGAGCAGUAACCCUAUUAGUAAGUUCCUAAUUUUCCAUAAACUGGAAAAUGUGUCUUCUGGAACAGAUGGGUUUAUGUUGUUUUCCUGAUUUGCAAAUUGAUCCUUGAGCCAUAUAAUUUUCCUUUGCUACCUAUCAUUGAUCAAAACACUAUCUUCUGAAGAUGGCUCAGUAAACUGUGGCUCCCUAGAACACGUUAAUGGCUUAAUGAUUAACAUGGCCGUGUCAAGCGUGUAAACAAAAAAUUGUAACUGCGUGGCCCCUGAUGUAACGGAAAUCCUUCUCACAUCUUCCCUUAGGCUAAUGAUAUUUUCUGCUGUUGUUCAGUAAGAGUUUUUGUUGACAACUGAAGUGUGAUAGUGCAAUCCAGAGUCCACUGGUGUUCAUACAGCAGUUAUGAAAUCUAUAGGUAUGGACGUGGAAAAGGAUGGGCAAAAGAUCCUCUUUUUCAUAGAAUCAUAGAAUCACUUUGGUUGGAAAAGACCUUUGAGAUC
Egretta garzetta (little egret) is the source of this 3582-nucleotide RNA transcript. It is a transcript of the gene named potassium channel regulator, with no coding region annotated. The record is from RefSeq and is a predicted model, not a curated record. NCBI's taxonomy places the organism in Eukaryota, Metazoa, Chordata, Aves, Pelecaniformes, Ardeidae. The transcript is spliced from 4 exons.